Molecule: ribosomal RNA, 327 nt
Filed under: Triticum aestivum (bread wheat)
Lineage: Eukaryota; Viridiplantae; Streptophyta; Magnoliopsida; Poales; Poaceae
Description: partial small subunit ribosomal RNA
Source: RNAcentral
AUGGGAAUGGAGUCACAUCAACGUCGGAGAUCCACAAGUCGCUUUCGUCAUCGACCACUAGAUACCCUUGUUAUAUUCAAUGGACCUUUGUGGUCUUGUACUCAAGUUCUUAUAAUUGCUUGGAAUUCUGUAUCAAGGAAGUGUCCACCAGCUAACAGUAAUCCUGGGGUUGGCGAUGACACAAGGGUCAUUUGUUGGGAUUAUAUGUCCCGGAAAAUUGGCCCUAACAGGUAUCCUCAAAGUUUUACAAAACUAGAAAACCAGACAUUUCAUUUUAGUAUUUCAUCUAUUCUUAAGCAAUUAGACCUAAAACUCAGGGUCAAAUAA